Molecule: long non-coding RNA, 303 nt
Organism: Drosophila teissieri
Lineage: Eukaryota; Metazoa; Arthropoda; Insecta; Diptera; Drosophilidae
Exons: 2
Source: RefSeq, a predicted model, not a curated record
AUGAAACUGAGCACCAUGAGUACUUUCGAUAUAUUUCUCCUUCUUGCCAUAUUUCUCCUGCUCACACCAGCUGAAUCUAAAAGUAAACAGCGAUAUAUAAAUUGCAGGCGCAAAACUGGAAAGUGGGGACGCUGCAUUAUGAAAGGAUCUCCAUGUCCUGGCGUCACCCAUUCAAAUCGCGUUUGCAAUUCGGCAGCCAUUUGCUGUGUGCCCAAUCCUGAAAAUACUGAGACAAUAUUAAUAGAAAAACAUUAUUAAGCACUUCAGGACCGAAAAAGAAAUAUACCAAGUCAGUUUAACAAA